GUAAGGAAUAUUGGACAAUGGACGCAAGUCUGAUCCAGCCAUGCCGCGUGAAGGAUUAAGGUCCUCUGGAUUGUAAACUUCUUUUAUAAGGGACGAAAAAAGGCUUUUCUAAGUCGUCUGACGGUACCUUAUGAAUAAGCACCGGCUAACUCCGUGCCAGCAGCCGCGGUAAUACGGAGGGUGCAAGCGUUAUCCGGAUUCACUGGGUUUAAAGGGUGCGUAGGCGGGCAAGUAAGUCAGUGGUGAAAUCCUAGAGCUUAACUCUAGAACUGCCAUUGAUACUAUCUGUCUUGAAUAUUGUGGAGGUAAGCGGAAUAUGUCAUGUAGCGGUGAAAUGCUUAGAUAUGACAUAGAACACCUAUUGCGAAGGCAGCUUACUACGCAUAUAUUGACGCUGAGGCACGAAAGCGUGGGGAUCAAACAGGAUUAGAAACCCCGGUAGUCC
This 445-nucleotide ribosomal RNA is filed under the name uncultured bacterium. Its description in RNAcentral is "bacterial SSU rRNA". It matches the Rfam family "Bacterial small subunit ribosomal RNA", at positions 354 to 796 of the family's 1533-position model. The record is from RNAcentral.